RNAcentral lists this ribosomal RNA (240 nucleotides) under Triticum aestivum (bread wheat). Its description in RNAcentral is "partial small subunit ribosomal RNA". Lineage: Eukaryota; Viridiplantae; Streptophyta; Magnoliopsida; Poales; Poaceae. The record is from RNAcentral.
AUGCGAGAGCUGGGACUGACGGAGGAAGACCUAGAUGAUGUGAUCUUUGAUGAGAAGCAAGCUCCUGCGGAGGGGCCUAGAUGGAUCAUGCUUGCCAGAGUCAACACCACCAAGACAUACAGCCAGACCGGGUUCUAUAGGAACAUGCGUUCGGCGUGGGAUGCUGCGCAGGAAGUGAAGUUCAAACCUCUUGAAGAGAAUCUGUAUACCGUCCAGUUCUCGUGCUUGGGAGAUUGGGAG